GCCGGCGAUAACUCCGGCGAGCUAUGGAGAUGGUUCAACUUCCAGAGGCUUCCUCAUAAAUUUUUGGAAUUUUUGAGACACAGAUAAACUUCGGGUGAUCGAGAUCAGCUAUUUUUCUGCGUCCAGCAGCCACAAUAGUCAUCGGUGUACUGCCACAGGAGGAGUUAUUUUACAGAACAACCUGUUUUCUUCCUCGCAGGUUUAACGUCAAUUAUUUAAUUGUUUUACUAUCUUUUUCUAAAUUUAAAAUCUAGAACUCCGCAUGUGUUAGAAAUAAUGUGGACCUUGGUAGAGGUUGUGUUAAUUUAAAUUUUUAAGAUUAAUAAAUGAAGAUUUGUAUGGUAUUUAAACAGUUUGUAAGUGAGGUAACAGGGUUGAGCUGGGCUCCCCUGAUUUUAGUUUCUGAAAAUUUCUGGGCUAAGUUGGCCCGAAAUGAAAUUAUAACAGUUUGAUUUAAAUUAUUUUAUAUGCAUAUUGGGCCUAAAUUGUGGGCCUGGUUAU
Molecule: long non-coding RNA, 501 nt
Organism: Hevea brasiliensis (rubber tree)
Lineage: Eukaryota; Viridiplantae; Streptophyta; Magnoliopsida; Malpighiales; Euphorbiaceae
Exons: 3
Source: RefSeq, a predicted model, not a curated record